UACAGAGGUCCCAAGCGUUGUUCGGAUUCAUUGGGCGUAAAGGGUGCGUAGGUGGCAGGGUAAGUUGGAUGUGAAAUCCCGGGGCUCAACCCCGGAACUGCAUUCAAUACUGCCCUGCUAGAGUACUGGAGAGGAGAUUUGAAUUCAUGGUGUAGCAGUGAAAUGCGUAGAUAUCAUGAGGAAGACCAGUGGCGAAGGCGGAUCUCUGGACAGUUACUGACACUGAGGCACGAAGGCCAGGGGAGCAAACGGG
This 253-nucleotide ribosomal RNA is filed under the name uncultured bacterium. RNAcentral's name for it is "partial 16S ribosomal RNA". It matches the Rfam family "Bacterial small subunit ribosomal RNA", at positions 524 to 776 of the family's 1533-position model. The record is from RNAcentral.